This 609-nucleotide ribosomal RNA is filed under the name Cociella crocodilus (crocodile flathead). RNAcentral describes it as "partial large subunit ribosomal RNA". It matches the Rfam family "Bacterial large subunit ribosomal RNA", at positions 1874 to 2620 of the family's 2925-position model. Lineage: Eukaryota; Metazoa; Chordata; Actinopteri; Perciformes; Platycephalidae. The record is from RNAcentral.
UACUUAAAGAAGGUCCCGCCCUGCCCAAGUGAACCAAUGGUGUUCAACGGCCGCGGAUAUUUUGACCGUGCGAGGGUAGCGCAAUAACUUGCUCCUUUAAAUGAAGACUAGUAUGAACGGCAUCACAAGGGCUUAUCUGUCUCCUUUUUUAAGUCAAUGAAAUUGAUCUUCCCGUGCAAAAGCGGGAAUAAGAACAUAAAACAAGAAGACCCUGUGGAGCUUUAGACACUAAGACAGCCUCCGUAAGAAUGCCUUAAUAAGGGCUAAAACUAAGAGAUAUCUGACCUGAUGUCUUUGGUUGGGGCGACCGCGGAGAAUAAUAAAACCUCCCCUCCGCGCGGACUGGAGGAACCCACCCACCACACACCCCUCCAAAAUUAAGAGUUACCACUCAAACUAACAGAAUUUUCUGACCACUGUGAUCCGGCAUAAAGCCGAUCAACGAAUCAAGUUACCCCAGGGAUAACAGCGCAAUCCCCUUCUAGAGUUCAUAUCGACAAGGGGGUUUACGACCUCGAUGUUGGAUCAGGACAUCCUAAUGGUGCAGCCGCUAUUAAGGGUUCGUUUGUUCAACGAUUAAAGUCCUACGUGAUCUGAGUUCAGACCGGA